AUAAUGUCACCUUGAACACACUGAGUGAUAAGAUGGACCAAUUUCAAUUUGUUGGUACAUCUUGAGCAAAAGUUGUAAGGUCAUAUGAGUUAGCAAUAGUAAAACAGAUUUUGACUGUUGAUAUAAAGCCUUAGUUGCAAAACAUUGGAGUAGUCUAUAGAUCCUCAUUCCUCAACAAGACUGAAACUCUAAUGUUGAAAUAUUUUUUUAUGCAGGCUUUUCCGUUGGAUUUAGUACUCUUUUCCGGUUGAGGACAACUUAAGUCUUUGCUUCCAGAUUAUCAGCGGCUUUCUCAUAGGUUGAAUACAUCAAAGCUUAUUGAAAAUAGUGAAUAUUUCCAAAAUAAACUGGUGGAUACAAUACAUUUUAUGGAGAUUCUAAAUUUAAAAGACAGUGUUGAAAAGGAUACCUUCUUCCGCAAGCUUCCAAAUUUAGCAGAGAAGCUUCCUCGUCCAAUUGUCCUGAAAAAGUUAGUUCCAUUAUUAGCUUCUGCACUUGAAUUUGGUUCAGCUGCUGCCCCUGCUUUGGCUGCCUUGUUGAAAAUGGAUUCUUCGCUUUCGACAGAAGAAUUCAGUUCCAAGGUCAUGCUCUUUCAGUACCUUUAAAAUAUUCUUAUUUUCAGAUGUUAAUUUUUGUCUUAUAAUGAUCCGGGUUGAUUGAUAUCUAUCCAUAUAAUGCAUAGAGCUCUAGUUGCUAGUUCGGCCAGUUUGAUGGCUCUAUAUGAACUAGCGGUUUUUGUGAUGCCCUAGGAAUAAGAUCUAUGUAUGUGCAAAGGAUAAUUAUUUUUUUUUGGUAAGUAAUAAGAUUUUAUAAAUCCGAAAAAAUGAGCCACCCAAGCAUACAGGAAAUACACUGGUUAGACAAUUAAUUAGUACAUUGGACAUGAUGUAUUUGGUUGUAGUGUGGGUUUUUUUUUUUUUUUUUUUUAAAGAAAAUCUUAUUUUGAGGGUCAAAAGACCCUUAAAUAACCUUAUUUAUCAAGGGUUGUACAUGUAGAUCUUUUAACCCUUGGUAAAUAAGGUUAUUUAAGGGUCUCUUGACCCUUAAAAAAAGAUUAGAGCACUUGUUUUGAGGGUCAUGAAGGCCUUCAAAAUUUCUUUUUUGACGGGAUAAGUUUAGAAGGUUAUCAAGGGUCGAUUUGACUCUUAAAAUAAUUUUUCUCGAGGUUUUUUAAUUACUUUUUCAAGGAUUUUGACACUUGAAGAAAGUUAGCUUUGUUGUAGUGAGAACCAGUAGAAACUUGACCACUCAACUAUUGCAAAAAAUUAUUAUGUGUCGUAGUGUUACACUGUUGCUUUUUAUCCAAUUUGGAUGGAAAAUAGGAGAAAAAUAUUAAUUUUUAUGCGAAUUUACUCUAUUACCUUAUUGUGAAAUGGAGGAGAGUUAGAUUUUGUAUAAAAUUAACUUUAUACCCUCAUAAUCAAUUGUUAUUAUAUAAUUCAAAAGAUAAAGGAAUAAAUGUUUUCUUAUAUAUAUAUAUAUAUAUAUAUAUAUUCACAAUCAAUUGCUUUGAUUUUCCCUAAUUACCAAGAGAGUUGCUACUUUUCUGGAAGUGGGACUGGAAGCAUGGCGCAAGUUCCCAUCAUUAUUGUUGCUUCUAUUCUAACAGGAGAUUUAACAACGAGCCAAUUAGAAGGAGCUAGACCUAGGAAAAGGCAUCAUUUUUGCUUACAUUUUUGUGAGAAAGUUGUUUCGUUCAGUGUACAGUUUGAUUAUUUAGGCACGUAGUAUUUGCUGAAGUUUUUUUUUGAUGUAGUAUUUGCUGAAGUUUGGUUAUGUAUAUAUAUAAAUUGAUUUUUUAUAUUUCAAACAGAAUAUGCCAGAAUUUAUUAGAAACAUUUUUGUUUGGUGUUUAA
Long non-coding RNA from Quercus robur (English oak), 1856 nucleotides. RefSeq lists it as uncharacterized. The record is from RefSeq and is a predicted model, not a curated record. NCBI's taxonomy places the organism in Eukaryota, Viridiplantae, Streptophyta, Magnoliopsida, Fagales, Fagaceae. The transcript has 4 exons.